UACGGGGGGGGCAAGCGUUGUUCGGAAUUACUGGGCGUAAAGGGCGCGUAGGCGGCCUUCUAAGUCAGACGUGAAAUCCCUCGGCUCAACCGAGGAACUGCGUCUGAUACUGGAAGGCUUGAAUCCGGGAGAGGGAUGUGGAAUUCCAGGUGUAGCGGUGAAAUGCGUAGAUAUCUGGAGGAACACCGGUGGCGAAGGCGGCAUCCUGGACCGGUAUUGACGCUGAGGCGCGAAAGCUAGGGGGGCAAACGGG
This 253-nucleotide ribosomal RNA is filed under the name uncultured bacterium. RNAcentral describes it as "partial 16S ribosomal RNA". It matches the Rfam family "Bacterial small subunit ribosomal RNA", at positions 524 to 776 of the family's 1533-position model. The record is from RNAcentral.